RNAcentral lists this ribosomal RNA (478 nucleotides) under uncultured bacterium. RNAcentral describes it as "partial 16S ribosomal RNA". It matches the Rfam family "Bacterial small subunit ribosomal RNA", at positions 28 to 523 of the family's 1533-position model. The record is from RNAcentral.
GACGAACGCUGGCGGCGUGCUUAACACAUGCAAGUCGAACGGUAAGGCCCUUCGGGGUACACGAGUGGCGAACGGGUGAGUAACACGCGGGUGAUCUGCCCUGCACUUCGGGAUAAGCCUGGGAAACUGGGUCUAAUACCGGAUAGGACUCCUGGCUUCAUGGUUGGGGGUGGAAAGCUUUUGCGGUGUGGGAUGGGCCCGCGGCCUAGCAGCUUGUUGGUGGGGUAAUGGCCUACCAAGGCGACGACGGGUAGCCGGCCUGAGAGGGUGACCGGUCACGAUGGGACUGAGAUAAGGCCUCGACUCCUACGGGAGUCAGCAGUGGGGAAUAUUGCACGAUGGGCGCAAGCCUGAUGCAGCGACGCCGCGUGAGGGAUGACGGCCUUCGGGUUGUAAACCUCUUUCAGCUAUGACGAAGCGCAAGUGACGGUAGUAGCAGAAGAAGGACCGGCCAACUACGUGCCAGCCGCCGCAGUAA